RNAcentral lists this long non-coding RNA (546 nucleotides) under Coturnix japonica (Japanese quail). Its description in RNAcentral is "lncRNA (ENSCJPG00005013284.1)". The record is from RNAcentral. Lineage: Eukaryota; Metazoa; Chordata; Aves; Galliformes; Phasianidae.
GAUUUUAGUUCUGUUUUUCAAAUGUUUCCUCUUUCAGCCAUCACUUACCUUGCCAGGCAAGGGGAGCAGUUGCUCAAUAGACAUCUGUGGUGGGAAAGCAAGAAGUUACUUUCAUCAUACAACAUUGCAGAAAUCAUCCUUGUAACUAAUAAGAAAGAUAUGAGAACCCUGAAGGGCUGUAAGAUGGGUCUUCAAUAGCAGGUCUUGAGAUACCAGAGAUCUAUGUGAUGUAAAUUGCUGAGAAGUAUCCUUGAAGAAAAUCUUGGGUUUAGGCAGAAAGUUUUCAUAAAACUACCUUUUCAGCUUCUUCUCUUAUUCUGUAACUGUAUGUAUGGAGACCGCUUCUUAGCAGCCUACUCUGAAGAUCACAGGUUGCUGUGAGGAGAGAGGUAUGUAUUUUUACAUAGCAUCCUCUAAAUAGCCCUGGUAAUUUCACAUUUUCUUAAGAGACUGGCUAACUUUGUUUUGAGCUGUAGGUGCCAAAGCAUGGAUAUGUGUGGUUAAUUGCCCAAAUAUCAUAUAGUAGGACUGCGAAUUAGCAUCCCA